AUGUAGAUUCCUACAACAUAGUGCUAAUGAACCGGAUCCCAUUAGAACUAUGCAGUUAAGCGUGCUCAGGCUAGAGUAGUACUCAGAUGGGUGACCACUUGGGAAUUCCUAGUGUUUUACAUG
This is a non-coding RNA of Picea glauca (white spruce), 123 nucleotides long. Lineage: Eukaryota; Viridiplantae; Streptophyta; Pinopsida; Pinales; Pinaceae. The record is from Rfam.